GAUGAACGCUGGCGGCGUGCUUAACACAUGCAAGUCGAACGAAACACCUUAUUUGAUUUUCUUCGGAACUGAAGAUUUGGUGAUUGAGUGGCGGACGGGUGAGUAACGCGUGGGUAACCUACCUUGUACAGGGGGAUAACAGUCAGAAAUGACUGCUAAUACCGCAUAAGACCACGGCACCGCAUGGUGCAGGGGUAAAAACUCCGGUGGUACAAGAUGGACCCGCGUCUGAUUAGCUGGUUGGUGAGGUAACGGCUCACCAAGGCGACGAUCAGUAGCCGGCUUGAGAGAGUGAACGGCCACAUUGGGACUGAGACACGGCCCAAACUCCUACGGGAGGCAGCAGUGGGGAAUAUUGCACAAUGGGGGAAACCCUGAUGCAGCGACGCCGCGUGAGUGAAGAAGUAUCUCGGUAUGUAAAGCUCUAUCAGCAGGGAAGAAA
RNAcentral lists this ribosomal RNA (442 nucleotides) under uncultured bacterium. RNAcentral describes it as "bacterial SSU rRNA". It matches the Rfam family "Bacterial small subunit ribosomal RNA", at positions 28 to 450 of the family's 1533-position model. The record is from RNAcentral.